RNAcentral lists this ribosomal RNA (253 nucleotides) under uncultured bacterium. Its description in RNAcentral is "partial 16S ribosomal RNA". It matches the Rfam family "Bacterial small subunit ribosomal RNA", at positions 524 to 776 of the family's 1533-position model. The record is from RNAcentral.
UACGUAGGGGGCGAGCGUUGUCCGGAUUCAUUGGGCGUAAAGCGCGCGUAGGCGGCUUCGUAAGUCGGCCGUGAAAUCUCCAGGCUUAACUUGGAGGGGUCGGGCGAGACUGCGGAGCUCGAGGUGGGCAGAGGGCAGUGGAAUUCCGGGUGUAGUGGUGGAAUGCGUAGAGAUCCGGAGGAACACCAGUGGCGAAGGCGGCUGCCUGGGCCUGGCCUGACGCUGAGGCGCGAAAGCGUGGGGAGCAAACAGG